GACGAACGCUGGCGGCAUGCUUUACACAUGCAAGUCGGACGAGUGGCGAACGGGUGAGUAACGCAUCUGACCGUACCGAGAAAUGGGGGAUAAAUGUCCGAAAGGACAGUAAAUACCGCAUAUUAUUCGAGCGGCCGAUGUCGGAUUAGCUGGUUGGCGGGGUAAAGGCCCACAAAGGCGACGAGCAGUAGUGGGUAUGAGAGGAUGAGCCGCAACAGUGGGACUGAGACACGGACCCGACUCAUACGGGAGGAAGCAGUGGGGAAUUUUGGACAAUGGGCGAAAGCCUGAUGGAGCCAUGCCGCGUGUCUGAAGAAGGGCUUCGGGUUGUAAAGGACUUUUGUCAGGGAAGCGGUACCUGAAGAAUAAGCACCGGCUAACUACGUGCCAGCAGCCGCGGUAAUAC
RNAcentral lists this ribosomal RNA (406 nucleotides) under uncultured bacterium. RNAcentral's name for it is "partial 16S ribosomal RNA". It matches the Rfam family "Bacterial small subunit ribosomal RNA", at positions 28 to 526 of the family's 1533-position model. The record is from RNAcentral.